This is an RNA transcript of Antechinus flavipes (yellow-footed antechinus), 7354 nucleotides long. It is a transcript of the gene named zinc finger protein 260-like, with no coding region annotated. The record is from RefSeq and is a predicted model, not a curated record. NCBI's taxonomy places the organism in Eukaryota, Metazoa, Chordata, Mammalia, Dasyuromorphia, Dasyuridae. The transcript has 6 exons.
AUAGAGAAGGAAACCAGAAGCCCCACGAUGCCCAGGAGCCAAGGAAGGGCAGGAAAGCUGAGCAGCGGAAACCAAGGCUGGACGCCCCUUUUGCACCCCAUUCCCGGAGGACCGCCCCACUGAACCUGUCGGGGCGGACAAUGGGGAGACCUCGUGCCACAGAGUUCAGGAUAGUUUUUCCUGAAUCCCAAAGAGAUUCCCCUCCUGACUGCCCUGGAAUAUGGCCUCCAGGGGACCCUGAGCCAGCCCCACCUCUUUUUCCUAGGUCUACCUUGGACAGCGACUGUCCCCAAAACCAAAUGUACACUAGGGGGCGCAGGCAGCAACCCUAGACAAAGCUCGAGGGAAAAGGAUCCAGGGGCCCUGAGGGAGGCACAAGAACGAACCAGAGCCCCCAAAGGGUUGGGGAUGUGGGGACUGCUCUUCUCGGUCCUGGUCCCACUACAAAUGACCCGCCGAAAUCGAACCUGAGGUUUGCAGGGACAUUGUGAGGGAGGGGCGGGACAACAUCAUCCAAUUAUCUGUUACAUAAGGGCCAGAGAAAGCGGUCAUUGUGGAGAGACCUAAGGGACGAUAGAACGGGGUUAGUACCCGGUGAAUUCAAACACCAGGAAAAGAAUGGAACCUACACAAACCUUCAUUCAGUGCACAACCUCAAAGCUUUCAGGGAGGGGAGGGGGGAGAUGUAAAAAAAAAAAAAAGGGGUCGUAAUGCUUCCUGGGAUUUGUAGUCUAUGUCAACGACUCUCAAGCGCGCGCACGACGGGGCCUUCCCCUUCCGCACUCUACUUCCCAGUAGGUUUUGCGGGCAUCCGGUCUGCAGCACUAUAGGCUGUCUUGCCGCCCAGUGAAAUGUAUCCUGGGAAUGCUCCUUCCGCUUCUCUGAAUGCACCUCUGAUUCGCUGACCCGGAGAGGGUAAAGGAGUAAGAGCGUCAGCGUUGCAUCGGAUCCUCGCUCUCCGUUCCUCGCUUCCUGCUCUGUCGGAGGCACCGAGCUCAGCCCUGUAAAGACCCUGCUCUUCCCCGGCAGCAGAUGGAGGCCGAGGAGGGCCCGACUUCUGGCUGCCUCAUGGCCGCCUUUCAGGAGCCGGUGACCUUCCGGGACGUGGCCGUGGACUUCACCUGGGAGGAGUGGAGGGUCCUGGAGCCGGCGCAGAGGGCCCUGCACAGGGACGUGAUGCUGGAGACCUUCCAGAACCUGGUCUCUGUGGGGAUUCCUGUUUCCAGACUAGAUGUGAUCUCCCUAUUGGAGAAGCCAGAAGGAGCCUGGAGUCCCGAGAGCAGAGACUCCAGUGGGUCUCAUCAAGAUUCCUUCAGCGAAGACACUGGACUUCAAGCCAAGAACUUAACCAUGGUGCAGAGCAUUUGCCUGGGGACAUCCUCUGAGAAGAGGCUCCCAAAGGGCAUGGCCUGGCAUUGCCACGUGAACGAAGCCAGGGAAUAUGAUAUGAAUUUAGAGAAAGAGAAGAGCCCAUCCAGAGAAGGGACCAUUCCCAGAAUGACUUUGAAUAAUGGGAAUGUGCCUCCGUGUAUGGCAGUUGGGAAGAACUUCAGUCUUGAGCCAGUCUUUGUUGGAACUAUGGAGAAAAGUCCGGAUAAAUAUAAGACAAUUGGAAAGAGCUUGAGAGGUUUUUCAAGCCUAAUUACUUAUAAUACAUUUUCUUCAGAGAAGAACUUUUCCAAGUAUGUCAAAGGCAAAAAACCUUUCAGGUAUCGCUCAGGAUUAUUUAAAUUUCAUAGAAUAGAUGCUAUAGGAAAUCUACAUGAACAGAGUGAAUGUAGAACAGUAUUUAAAAGAUCAAAUCUUACUGAAAAUCAGAGACAUCCCAUAGGAGACAGUCAUUAUAAAUAUAGUAAGUAUAGAAAAAACAAUGUCAAAAAAGGAAGCUUGAUUGAACUUAAAAUAAAUCAUGCUGAAGUGAAACCCUUUAAAUGUGAUGAAUGUGGUAAACCUUUUGGUAGGAGGGAAAACCUGAUUGCACAUAAGAGAAUUCAUACUGGAGAGAAACCUUUUAUUUGUAAUCAAUGUGGAAAAAGCUUCAGCCAUAAGGGAAACCUGAUUGCUCAUCAUAAAAUUCAUACAGGGGAGAAACCUUUUGCAUGUAAUGAAUGUGGAAAAAGCUUCCGCCAUAGGGGAAGCCUGCUUGCUCAUCAUAAUACUCACACAGGGGAGAAAUCUUUUCCAUGUAAUGAAUGUGGAAAAAGCUUCAUUCAUAGGGCAAAUCUUAUUUCUCAUCAGAGAACUCAUACAGGGGAGAAACCAUUUUCAUGCCAUGAAUGUAUGAAAAGCUUUUGUCACAGGGGAAACCUCAUUGCCCAUCGCCGAACUCAUACCAUAGAGAAACCAUUUGAAUGUAAUGAGUGUGGGAAAACAUUCCGCUCUAGCAGAAGCCUUAUUCGACACCAGAGAACUCACACUGGCGAGAAACCUUUUGCAUGUAACAUAUGUGGGAAAGCCUUCACCACUAAGACAUAUCUCUUUGAUCAUCAGAGAAUUCAUACUGGAGAAAAACCUUUUAAAUGUAAUGAAUGUGGGAAAGGCUUUGGCCAGAGAGGAUACCUCAUUUGUCAUCAAGGAGUUCAUACUGGGAAAAAACCCUUUGAAUGUAGUGAAUGUGGAAAAGCCUUCACCCGGAGAGCUCGCCUUAUUGUACAUCAGAGAACUCACACUGGAGAGAAACCAUUUGUAUGUAAGGAAUGUGGGAAAGGCUUUAACCGGAGGGACCAUCUCACUUCUCAUCAGAGAGUUCAUACUGGAGAGAAACCCUUUGUAUGUAAUGAGUGUGGGAAAGCCUUUUCCCAGAGAGCAAGUCUUAUUAAACAUCAGCAAAGUCAUACAAGAGAAAAACACUUUGAAUGUAAUGAAUGUGGAAAAGUCUUCACCCGGAGGUCGUACCUUAUUAUUCAUCAAAGAAAUCACACUGGAGAGAAACCCUUUAUAUGUAAUGAGUGUGGGAGAGCCUUUACCCAGAAAGCAAGUCUUUUUAACCAUCAGCGAACUCAUACAGGAGAGAAACCCUUUGUUUGCAAUGAAAAAGGGAAAUCUUUUAGCCACAGGGACUCCCUCACUAACCAUCAAAGAACUCACACUGGAGAGAAACCCUUUAUAUGUAAUGAAUGUGGGAAAGCCUUCAACUAUGUAGUAGCACUCAAGUGUCAUCAAAGAACUCAUCAUGGAGAGAAACUCUUUGAAUGUCAGGAUUGUGGGAAAACUUUUAGGCGCAAAGCAAACCUCAUGUUCCACCAGAAAACCCAUAUAAAAGAGAAACCCUUUGCAUGUAAUGAAUGUGGGAAAGACUUUAGUAGGAGUUCUAACCUUAUUACUCAUCAGAAAAUUCAUACUGGAAAGAAACAGAAUUUGUUGAGAUAGACCACAUAGGAACUACCCCUUCACUGCCACUAGAGAAUUCAUAUGAUUCUGGCAAUUCAAUAGGAGAAACAUCUGUCCUUUCUAAAGUAAUUCAUUGUGCUUCUUUUUGGUUAACAUGUCACCUACAUUUCUCAACCUGUGCCUUUUUCAUCCCCUCCAAAUCCAACACAUGAAAAAACAGACAUUGUAUGCACUUUUGCACACUGGAGAGUCCACCAUAUUUGUAAAGAAGUGGUUGUAAUGGGCUGAGGUUCAAAUUGACGCACUGAGGUCCCAAGCACGUGAGGCUAAAUAGUAAUUGGACCAUACUCUAUUAAUAUAUAUGCUUGGAGAAAGAAUGGCCCUGCCCACUCUUUGUGCAAGUCCUGAUGGGUUGUAUAGGAAAUGAUGGUUUUGGUGGGUGGAGGCAGGGGAGUGGAAAGGGAAGCGGAAAGAGAGACUGCUUGCUGGUUUCUUGACACAGCUGCUCGCAUUGCUAUCGCAACCCCCCUUCACCUCCGAUCCUCCUUUCACCUGCAAUCCCCCUUCACCUCUGCUGGCUGGCUUCCUGUCGCAGCUGCCCAUAUUGCUAUCGCAAUCCCCCUUCAUCUCAAAAAGAAUAAAGAUUGAAGAUUUUUCCCUUAACUUGAAUUCCUGACUCCGGCUGAUUUUAACUAUACAGUCAUCACAUUUGGCGCCCAAGCGUGGGAACCAAGGACCCUACUUUCACUGAAGAAGUCUACAGUGACCAGGAACUUAGGUGAGUAUAAGACAAACAGGGAACUUACUUUCUUAAAGACUAAACUAGUAACCUUUUUUGGCUGAAAUGGGAGCGAUGCUAGCUAAAGAUUCUUCAUCCCCCACCCCCACCCAGGAGUGGCGCUACAGAAAGCAUGCUUAAGCUGAUAGAAGAUCAAGGGCUAUUUAUAACUUGGGAACAGAUAGCUAGACUUCUGGGUACAUUAAAACGCACCUCCCCUUGGUUCUUAGAGGAAGAGCAAAUCUCUCCAGAUAAUUGGACAUUAAUUGGGCAACAGCUCUCUGCAUAUUACAAUGAAAACGGUCCUCAUUCAAUUUCCAUCGAGGCAUUCUAUUUAUACGAUAUAAUACAGUUGGCCUUAAGAAAUCGGAUAAGUUAUAAAAGAAAGAGAAAAAGCUCUAGGAAUAGCCAAAUGGGGAAGCCUGAGAUAAAGGAGGAAGAUAAUGAAUAGAUUAAUGACCAUAUCUCCACAGAUAAGUGAGGCUCAAGGGUGUGGUGAAUCUGAGGCAACUUCAGCCCCGUAAAGAGCAAGUAAUUGACUCUCCUCUAUCAACUCCAUCCUCUGGGAUGGAGGGAGGAGGAGUAGUGGGGGGGCAGUGACAGCACCAGCACCUCCCCCCCAGCAUCCAGCAGCUCCUAUGAGUAGAUUGCAAAAGCAAUUAAUUAAGGCCAAAGAGGAAGGGAGAAAUGUAUCAGAAUUUCAACACCACAUUUUUCCUGUAAUUCAACAGUUUAGUUCUUCAGGUCAAGAAAGUAGAAAAUUAAAAAAAAAAAAAAAAAAGAAAGUAGAAAAUACGCUCCUUUUGCUAUAGAAAUCCUCAAAGAUCUGAAAAAGGCUUGCACUUUUUAUGGGGCUACAUCAGCUUAUGUUAAGAUGUUAUUACAGAACUUGGCUUUUGAAAUUUUGACCCCUAAUGACUGGAAAUCUAUAGGAAGGGUAUGCCUAGAACCUGUGGCUUUCUGAAUAUAGUGAGCUCUGUGGAAUACAAGCCCAACAAAAUAGUCAAAGUGGAGUUCAUGCUGCAAUCACCUAUGACCUCCUAACAGGUGUAGGUUCCUAUGCAGAUGCAAUACAGAUUAAUUAUUCCAUAGCAACCUAUGAGGAAAUGAACCCUUUGCUGACUUUGUGGGAUGUUUGCAGACAGCUAUCACAAGAACUAAUGGUGAAAAUGCAGUUAACAGACAUUUUGAUAAGGUAACUUGCUAAGGAAAAUGCUAAUGAGGUCUGCAGAAGAAUUAUACUAGGACUGCACAAGGAUGCUCCUUUAGAGGCGCUCAUAAGACGCUGUGCCACAGUGGGCACAAAUGCCUUUUAUAGCCAGGCUAUGAUGCAGACUUCCCAAGAUCCCAAUAUGGGAAGAAAGGGUCCCUUCUGGCAAGGAACUACCAGAGAGACUCGUAGAUGUUUUCAGUGUGGAAAAGUUGGACAUUUGAGAGCUCAUUGUAGGUAUGGAGAUAGAAUGAGAAGACAGGGUAAGAGAAUAAAACCCAAAACCCCUUAUCCAAAAUGUAAUCGAGGCUUUCACUGGGCCUCUGAAUGUAGAUUGACCCAAUGAGAGAAAUGAGAGGCAGGGCCCAGCUCCAAGGUAUCAAUCAAAAGAUAGGUGGAGCAUGAUAGCAACUGAGAUUACACCCAGAGAGUCUUUAGAAAUUCAGGACUCUGAUGUCAUCAACCAACAGAAAAGCAACAGAAUUACAGGUUACAGGCCUUUUAACACAACAGGACAGUGUCCAGUGCAAACAGCUCCACUAUCUUUAGAUAAUCGCCAGGUGAUGUGGAGGGAUCCAGAAAGUGGCAAAUAGAAGGGAAUUGUAUAGGUUAACUGCUUGGGGAAGAGGGUUUGCUUGUAUUUUUACAGGAGGAGAAAGAAUUGGGUACCAACGAGCCGUAUUCGCCUUGUCCAUCACAGAGAGAAGGAGCAGACCCUUGAAACGAAGGAGAAGGCCCAAGAAAUAUCGGGUGGUUCUGUUGCUGAUUGUGCUCACCAUUUAAAGAGCGUGGCAGUUAUGGCGUUUGACUCAUGGACAUAGAAAAUUGUUGGACUUCAAAACCUUCAGAAAUCAUUGGAUUCUCUGAGACAUGAUAAGAUUGUUGUAGGACUUGAAAACCCUCAGGAAUCAUUGGAUUCUCUGAGACAUAAGAUUGUUGUAGGACUUGAAAACUCUCAGGAAUCAUUGGAUUCUCUGAGACAUAAGACUUGAAACCCUCAGGAAUCAUUGGAUUUUCUGAGAAAUGAUAAGACUGUUACAGGACUUCAAAAUCUGCUGGAAUCAUUGGAUUCCCUAACAUAUAAAAAGACUUUUGCAGGACUUCAAAAACUUGGGGGCAUCAUUGGAUUCCCUGACAUGUGAAGCAAUGGACAAUAGAUUGGUUUUGGACUAUCUCUUGGCUGCUGAAGAAGGCGUAUGUGUGACUGCUAUUUACAUACCCUCCUUCUAGGACUUCUGGCAAUCUUUUACAACACCAUAUUGAUUUAUAUUGUUUGUUAUGCUGUUACUUGUGUGUACAAUUCAUGUUUGUUACACCACAUUAAGCCUAUACUGACUGUGGGGAGGGUCAUCACUAAUAGCCUCUGCGUUAUUGCUAUGUGCUUGUGUAAUACCUCCCAUGCUGAUGGGUUUGUGCAUAAUAAGACCAUUCAGCCCAGAAACCCGCUAGCAACCCCCACUUCCCUUUGGUGCUUUUCAUCUCCCUUCCUGAGAUGUCAGGGAGGGCGUGAUCAUCUCCUUUUUAGUGCUUUCACCUCCCUUCCUGAGAAGUCAAGGAGGGUGUGAUCACCUCCCCUUGGGGGCUCUGACCUCCCUGAGGAAUCAGGGAUGGCAUGACCACCUGUGUUCUAAAACAAAAGAAAGCGGGAGAUGUAAUGGGCUGAGGCUCGAGUUGAUGCACUGAGGUCCUAAGCACGUGAGGCUAAAUAGCAAUUGGACCAUACUCUGUUAUAUAUGUUUGGAGAAAGAAUGGCCCCACCCACUCUUUGUGUAAGUCCUGAUGUGUUGUAUAGGAAAUGAUGGUUUUGGUGGAUUGAGGAAGUGGAAAGGGAAGCUGAAAGAGAGAUUGCUGGCUGGUAUCUUGACACAGCUGCUUGCAUUGCUAUCACAACUCCCCAUCACCUCCGAUCCCCCUUUCACCUGCAAUCCCCCUUCACCUCUGCUGGCUGGCUUCCUGUCGCAGCUGCCUAUAUUGCUAUCGCAAUCCUCCUUCACCUCAAAAAGAAUAAAGAUUGAAGAUUUUUCCCUUAACUUGAA